Molecule: ribosomal RNA, 422 nt
Filed under: uncultured bacterium
Lineage: Bacteria
Description: bacterial SSU rRNA
Rfam family: Bacterial small subunit ribosomal RNA
Source: RNAcentral
UGAGGAAUAUUGGUCAAUGGGAGGAAUCCUGAACCAGCCAUGCCGCGUGCAGGACGACGGCUCUACGAGUUGUAAACUGCUUUUGUACCGGGGUAAAAUGCCUUACGAGUAGGGUUUUGAAAGUACGGUACGAAUAAGGAUCGGCUAACUCCGUGCCAGCAGCCGCGGUAAUACGGAGGAUCCGAGCGUUAUCCGGAUUCAUUGGGUUUAAAGGGUGCGUAGGUUGUUUUAUAAGUUAGCGGUGAAAUACCGAUGCUCAACAUCGGGGCUGCCGCUGAUACUGUAGGACUAGAGAUCGGAUGCAGCAGGCGGAAUGUGUAGUGUAGCGGUGAAAUGCAUAGAUAUUACACAGAACACCGAUUGCGAAGGCAGCUUGCUAGGCCGGAUCUGACACUGAUGCACGAAAGCGUGGGGAUCGAACA